AGUGGCGAACUGGUGAGUAACACGUGGGUAACCUGCCCUCAAGCAGGGGAUAACACUUGGAAACAGGUGCUAAUACCGUAUAACAAUGAAAACCGCAUGGUUUUCAUUUGAAAGAUGGUUUCGGCUAUCACUUGAGGAUGGACCCGCGGCGUAUUAGCUAGUUGGUGAGGUAACGGCUCACCAAGGCAAUGAUACGUAGCCGACCUGAGAGGGUAAUCGGCCACAUUGGGACUGAGACACGGCCCAAACUCCUACGGGAGGCAGCAGUAGGGAAUCUUCCACAAUGGACGAAAGUCUGAUGGAGCAACGCCGCGUGAGUGAAGAAGGGUUUCGGCUCGUAAAACUCUGUUGUUAAAGAAGAACAGGUGUAAGAGUAACUGUUUACACCGUGACGGUAUUUAACCAGAAAGCCACGGCUAACUACGUGCCAGCAGCCGCGGUAAUACGUAGGUGGCAAGCGUUGUCCGGAUUUAUUGGGCGUAAAGCGAGCGCAGGCGGUCUUUUAAGUCUGAUGUGAAAGCCUUCGGCUUAACCGGAGAAGUGCAUCGGAAACUGGGAGACUUGAGUGCAGAAGAGGACAGUGGAACUCCAUGUGUAGCGGUGAAAUGCGUAGAUAUAUGGAAGAACACCAGUGGCGAAGGCGGCUGUCUGGUCUGUAACUGACGCUGAGGCUCGAAAGCAUGGGUAGCGAACAGGAUUAGAUACCCUGGUAGUCCAUGCCGUAAACGAUGAGUGCUAAGUGUUGGAGGGGUUUCCGCCCU
RNAcentral lists this ribosomal RNA (761 nucleotides) under uncultured bacterium. RNAcentral's name for it is "bacterial SSU rRNA". It matches the Rfam family "Bacterial small subunit ribosomal RNA", at positions 94 to 839 of the family's 1533-position model. The record is from RNAcentral.